UACGUAGGGCGCAAGCGUUGUCCGGAAGUAUUGGGCGUAAAGAGCUCGUAGGCGGUCUGUCGCGUCUGGUGUGAAAUCCCAUGGCUCAACUGUGGGCUUGCAUCGGGUACGGGCAGACUAGAGUGCUGUAGGGGAGACUGGAAUUCCUGGUGUAGCGGUGGAAUGCGCAGAUAUCAGGAGGAACACCGAUGGCGAAGGCAGGUCUCUGGGCUGUAACUGACGCUGAGGAGCGAAAGCAUGGGGAGCGAACAGG
Molecule: ribosomal RNA, 253 nt
Filed under: uncultured bacterium
Lineage: Bacteria
Description: partial 16S ribosomal RNA
Rfam family: Bacterial small subunit ribosomal RNA
Source: RNAcentral